AUUGAACGCUGGCGGCAUGCUUUACACAUGCAAGUCGAACGGUAACAGGCCGCAAGGUGCUGACGAGUGGCGAACGGGUGCGUAAUGCAUCGGAACGUGCCCAGUCGUGGGGGAUAACUACUCGUAAGAGUAGCUAAUACCGCAUACGAUCUAUGGAUGAAAGCGGGGGACCGUAAGGCCUCGCGCGAUUGGAGCGGCCGAUGUCAGAUUAGGUAGUUGGUGGGGUAAAGGCUCACCAAGCCAACGAUCUGUAGCUGGUCUGAGAGGACGACCAGCCACACUGGGACUGAGACACGGCCCAGACUCCUACGGGAGGCAGCAGUGGGGAAUUUUGGACAAUGGGCGCAAGCCUGAUCCAGCAAUGCCGCGUGCAGGAAGAAGGCCUUCGGGUUGUAAACUGCUUUUGUACGGAACGAAACGGCUCUGGUUAAUACCCGGGGCUAAUGACGGUACCGUAAGAAUAAGCACCGGCUAACUACGUG
RNAcentral lists this ribosomal RNA (482 nucleotides) under uncultured bacterium. RNAcentral describes it as "partial 16S ribosomal RNA". It matches the Rfam family "Bacterial small subunit ribosomal RNA", at positions 30 to 507 of the family's 1533-position model. The record is from RNAcentral.